GCGGGGGUACCCGAGCCAGGUCUAAAUAGCGGGCCAGAAACUUGGCAGAAACCCUCUAAGACAAGGGGGAGGACUUAAGAUCCUCUGGCGUAGGCCUCCGCGGGUUCGAAUCCCGCCCCCCGCACCA
Molecule: transfer RNA, 127 nt
Filed under: Candidatus Bathyarchaeota archaeon
Lineage: Archaea; Thermoproteati; Candidatus Bathyarchaeota
Also listed under: 1 other name
Description: tRNA-Leu
Rfam family: tRNA
About the family: Transfer RNA (tRNA) molecules are approximately 80 nucleotides in length. Their secondary structure includes four short double-helical elements and three loops (D, anti-codon, and T loops).
Source: RNAcentral